GACGAACGCUGGCGGCGUGCUUAACACAUGCAAGUCGAACGGUAAGACCCUGCUUUUGUGGGGUGCUCGAGUGGCGAACGGGUGAGUAACACGUGAGUAACCUGCCCUUGACUUUGGGAUAACUUCAGGAAACUGGGGCUAAUACCGGAUAGGAGCUCCUGCUGCAUGGCGGGGGUUGGAAAGUUUCGGCGGUUGGGGAUGGACUCGCGGCUUAUCAGCUUGUUGGUGGGGUAGUGGCUUACCAAGGCUUUGACGGGUAGCCGGCCUGAGAGGGUGACCGGCCACAUUGGGACUGAGAUACGGCCCAGACUCCUACGGGAGGCAGCAGUGGGGAAUAUUGCACAAUGGGCGGAAGCCUGAUGCAGCAACGCCGCGUGCGGGAUGACGGCCUUCGGGCUGUAAACCGCUUUCGCCUGUGACGAAGCGUGAGUGACGGUAAUGGGUAAAGAAGCACCGGCUAACUACGU
RNAcentral lists this ribosomal RNA (467 nucleotides) under uncultured bacterium. RNAcentral describes it as "partial 16S ribosomal RNA". It matches the Rfam family "Bacterial small subunit ribosomal RNA", at positions 28 to 506 of the family's 1533-position model. The record is from RNAcentral.